GUGAGGAAUAUUGCGCAAUGGAGGCAACUCUGACGCAGCCAUGCCGCGUGCAGGAAGAAGGCGCUACGCGUUGUAAACUGCUUUUAACCGGGAAGAAACCCCAGGACGUGUCCUGGGUUGACGGUACCGGAGGAAUAAGCACCGGCUAACUUCGUGCCAGCAGUCGCGGUAAUACGAAGGGUGCAAGCGUUAUCCGGAUUCAUUGGGUUUAAAGGGUGCGUAGGCGGAGCGUUAAGUCAGUGGUGAAAUCCUGCAGCUUAACUGUAGACUUGCCAUUGAUACUGGCGCUCUUGAGUGCGCUUGAAGUGGGCGGAAUGUGUCGUGUAGCGGUGAAAUGCUUAGAUAUGGCACAGAACACCAAUUGCGAAGGCAGCUCACUAAGGCGAUACUGACGCUGAGGCACGAAAGCGUGGGGAUCGAACAGGAUUAGAAACCCGUGUAGUCC
This 445-nucleotide ribosomal RNA is filed under the name uncultured bacterium. RNAcentral describes it as "partial 16S ribosomal RNA". It matches the Rfam family "Bacterial small subunit ribosomal RNA", at positions 354 to 796 of the family's 1533-position model. The record is from RNAcentral.